This 941-nucleotide long non-coding RNA is filed under the name Vombatus ursinus (common wombat). RNAcentral's name for it is "lncRNA (ENSVURG00010002072.1)". The record is from RNAcentral. Lineage: Eukaryota; Metazoa; Chordata; Mammalia; Diprotodontia; Vombatidae.
GGGAUGUGUGGGUGUAGGACAGGAAGCAGGUAUUCGGAAAGAGCUCUUUACGGCCAGGGCUCUGCGCUAGGCCCGUAAAUGUGAAGGGAGGAAGGGUGGCCCUUUCGGGGCUGCCAGGUGCUUUCCCCACCUUGUCGCCCUCCGCACUAGGCGGAAGGUGACGUGGGGGAAGAGUAGGCAUGGCCCUGGCAGCCAGGCUGCGCUUGGGCGGGAGGCUCUGGCAGGUGGCCGCUGCCGUGAAAGGUAGGCCAGUCCUUGCUUCAGAGGCCGCAGCGCCGCGCGCCAGGACCUCUGGGGUUUCCAUGGUGCUUUCUCUCUUCCUCUCUCUCUGUGUUUCUUUAGUGACACCCUGGAGGAGAAUCCGCCUCUGCGGUCGCGGCCGCCGGCAGGGAUCCACCGAGCAAAGGUCGCCUUGGCUUCCAGAGGGCAGAGGAGCCCCGGUCUUGGCCGGCGGGGCCGGCGGGGGACCUCUCAUCCAGACAGAAGAUGGCAUUUGGGGUCAGGAACCAUUGGGCCCUUACCUUCCAUCGAUAUCCUGCAAGUUCUGUGAAUUCAUUGGGCUUUCUGCUCAGGCUGCCUGGAAGAAGAAGUGAAUCAGGACCCUGAGUAAUCCAACUGGGGACUGUUUGGCAAGCACAAGAGUAAAGUUCUCCUCUGCUGCAUCAGUCUGAUGGCAGGUGACUCUUAAAUCUUGAAGGCUGUGCCCAGAUACUUCCAAGCUGGUUAACUUUGAAUGGAGCCUGGUGGUCAUCCGUUGACUGAGGAACAUCCUAGUGAAACUUGAAGAGGCUCGGCACUAAGCUGAGACUGGAGGAUAUAUUGUUCAGCAGUAACAACUCAUGGAGACGGUCCUACUAAGGCAGAGAGGAGGUGAGUUCAUCAACAGAUUUCUUGAAAGAGAUGAGUUUGAAGAGUGGGAGAUGGCCAUGAUUUUGUAGGGA